CUUGAAAGGAGCAAUCCGCUUUGGAAUUGGGAUAUGGUCUAUUAGCUAGUUGGCGGGAUAAAAGCCCCCCAAGGCGAUGAUAGAUAGCUGGAUUGAGAAGUUGAACAGCCACAAUGGGAUUGAGAUACGGCCCAUAUUCCUACGGGAAGCAGCAGUAGGGGAUCUUCCACAAUGGGCGAAAGCCUGAUGGAGCAAUACCAUGUGAACGACGAAGGUCUUAUUGAUUGUAAAGUUCUUUUAAGAGGGAUAAAACAAGAUGGUACCUCUUGAAUAAGUGACAGCAAACUAUGUGCCAGCAGCUGCGGUAAUACAUAGGUCGCGAGCGUUAUUCGGAUUUAUUGGGCGUAAAGAGAGCGCAGGCGGAUGGAUAAGUUCUGUGUGAAAGGUAGCCGCUCAACGGUUACUUGCGCCGAAUACUGUCUGUCUAGAAUACGGUAGGGAGGUUCGGAAUUGAAUGUGGAGCGGUGGAAUGUGUAGAUAUAUUCAAGAACACCAGAGGCGAAGGCGGAACCUUAGGCCGAUAUUGACGCUUAGGCUCGAAAGUGUGGGGAGCAAAUGGGAUUAGAUACCCCAGUAGUCCACACCGUAAACGAUGGAUAUUUGAUGUUGGGAGUUGAGAGUCUCAGCGUUGUAGCUUACGUGUUAAAUAUCCCGCCUGGGUAGUACAUAUGCAAAUAUGAAACUCAAAGGAAUUGACGGGGACCUGAACAAGUGGUGGAACAUGUUGCUUAAUUCGAUAAUACACGAAAAACCUUACCAAGAUUUGACAUCCCCCGCAAAGGUAUAGAAAUAUACUCGGAGGUUAUCGGGGUGACAGGUGGUGCAUGGUUGUCGUCAGCUCGUGUCUUGAGAUGUUUGGUUAAGUCCCGCAACGAGCGCAACCCUACUCUCUAGUUAGUAUGUUUAGAGAGACUGAACAGAAAUGUAUAGGAAGGAUAGGAUCACGUCAAAUCAUCAUGCCCCUUAUGUCUUGGGCUGCAAACGUGUUACAAUGGCUAGUACAGCGUGCUUGCAAACCAGCGAUGGUAAGCCAAUCACUAAAAGCUAGCCCCAGUUCGGAUUAAAGGCUGCAAUUCGCCUUUAUGAAGUUGGAAUCACUAGUAAUCC
This 1107-nucleotide ribosomal RNA is filed under the name uncultured Mycoplasma sp. RNAcentral describes it as "bacterial SSU rRNA". It matches the Rfam family "Bacterial small subunit ribosomal RNA", at positions 199 to 1344 of the family's 1533-position model. Lineage: Bacteria; Bacillati; Mycoplasmatota; Mollicutes; Mycoplasmatales; Mycoplasmataceae. The record is from RNAcentral.